GAAUCUUCCGCAAUGGACGAAAGUCUGACGGAGCAACGCCGCGUGAGUGAUGAAGGUUUUCGGAUCGUAAAGCUCUGUUGUUAGGGAAGAACAAGUGCAAGAGUAACUGCUUGCACCUUGACGGUACCUAACCAGAAAGCCACGGCUAACUACGUGCCAGCAGCCGCGGUAAUACGUAGGUGGCAAGCGUUGUCCGGAAUUAUUGGGCGUAAAGGGCUCGCAGGCGGUUUCUUAAGUCUGAUGUGAAAGCCCCCGGCUCAACCGGGGAGGGUCAUUGGAAACUGGGAAACUUGAGUGCAGAAGAGGAGAGUGGAAUUCCACGUGUAGCGGUGAAAUGCGUAGAGAUGUGGAGGAACACCAGUGGCGAAGGCGACUCUCUGGUCUGUAACUGACGCUGAGGAGCGAAAGCGUGGGGAGCGAACAGG
Molecule: ribosomal RNA, 425 nt
Filed under: uncultured bacterium
Lineage: Bacteria
Description: bacterial SSU rRNA
Rfam family: Bacterial small subunit ribosomal RNA
Source: RNAcentral